Nerophis lumbriciformis (worm pipefish) is the source of this 290-nucleotide long non-coding RNA. RefSeq lists it as uncharacterized. NCBI's taxonomy places the organism in Eukaryota, Metazoa, Chordata, Actinopteri, Syngnathiformes, Syngnathidae. The record is from RefSeq and is a predicted model, not a curated record.
GAUCACAUCAUCUCUGCUGCACGUGCUCAGCCAGUUGAGGAAUCGGAGGUUCAGAUAUGGAGUGUUUCUCUGCACUUUAAAUAGAGCCAAAAUACCACAGCGAUAUGUCGGGAAGAAGGUUUGUGGUGAUCACAACAUGCAGACGACAGCGGGAGGCAGCAUACAGUGCGGUGGCUAUGGAUGAAGUGCUGGCUGUCCAGAGUCGGGACCCGGGGUGGACCGCUCACCUGUGCAUCGGUUGCUGACCUGUCUCCGCUCGGGAUGGUCUCCUGCUGGCCCCACUAUGGACU